UGGGGAAUAUUGCACAAUGGGCGCAAGCCUGAUGCAGCCAUGCCGCGUGUAUGAAGAAGGCCUUCGGGUUGUAAAGUACUUUCAGCGGGGAGGAAGGGAGUAAAGUUAAUACCUUUGCUCAUUGACGUUACCCGCAGAAGAAGCACCGGCUAACUCCGUGCCAGCAGCCGCGGUAAUACGGAGGGUGCAAGCGUUAAUCGGAAUUACUGGGCGUAAAGCGCACGCAGGCGGUUUGUUAAGUCAGAUGUGAAAUCCCCGGGCUCAACCUGGGAACUGCAUCUGAUACUGGCAAGCUGGGGUCUCGUAGAGGGGGGUAGAAUUCCAGGUGUAGCGGUGAGAUGCGUAGAGAUCUGGAGGAAUACCGGUGGCGAAGGCGGCCCCCUGGACGAAGACUGACGCUCAGGUGCGAAAGCGUGGGGAGCAAACAGG
Molecule: ribosomal RNA, 429 nt
Filed under: Chloroflexota bacterium
Lineage: Bacteria; Bacillati; Chloroflexota
Description: Chloroflexi bacterium partial 16S ribosomal RNA
Rfam family: Bacterial small subunit ribosomal RNA
Source: RNAcentral